GCGAUUUUUGGAGGAGCAAGUGAUAGCAAAUAAAGUGACAAAAGAUCACGACGAGGGUGGUCCAAGUUUAGGAUAAGAGACUUAAGUAAGAUCAGAUGCUAUCAGUGCGAUGAGUUAGGGCAUCUAGUCAAAGAUUGUCCACAACAAAAAGAUCGAAUGAGGGCUACUGUAGCGAUGGCCAGUAGCGUAUCAGAGGAUGAUGU
RNAcentral lists this long non-coding RNA (203 nucleotides) under Elaeis guineensis (African oil palm). RNAcentral's name for it is "long non-coding RNA (EGUI_LNC039594)". Lineage: Eukaryota; Viridiplantae; Streptophyta; Magnoliopsida; Arecales; Arecaceae. The record is from RNAcentral.